RNAcentral lists this long non-coding RNA (1951 nucleotides) under Trifolium pratense (red clover). RNAcentral's name for it is "long non-coding RNA (TPRA_LNC003952)". Lineage: Eukaryota; Viridiplantae; Streptophyta; Magnoliopsida; Fabales; Fabaceae. The record is from RNAcentral.
AUCUAAGGUAAGAUCAAUAACUCCAAUUUCAUUCCUUUCCUUUCCAAUGAAGCCUAAAUUCAUUCUUAAGUUUAUGCUCAUUUGGGUUAUUUGCAUGUGAUCACCUUUUAAGAGUUAGAGAGAAGAAUUAGCACUGAAUAAGUAUGUUAGAGCAGAAGAACAUGGGCACAAGAUGGAAGCUUGAAGUUUUGAUUGUGGAUUUUUGAAGAAAUUUGGGUUAAACCCGUAUUCAAGGACAGACCUUCCCUAAAAAGGUAAUUGUUCUCUCUUUGUAACUCCGAAUGAUAUGUUGUUUGUUUAUGUGUAUAGCUAACUCAAAUAUGGUCGUUAUGAUAUCAGUUUUAUAAUUUUUGGACGAGGGAUGAGGUUGGUAGCCAUUUUUGAAGUUGGAAGUCAGUAGAAGGAAUUGUGCAGAAAAUCUGAUUUUUUUUUGUUUUUAUGGGCUACAGGUUUGCAUUUUGAGCGGCUCAAACGGAUGAUUAUAAGCGUGUGAAACAGUUCGGAAUUGCUAUCAACUCAGGUGGGUUCCCUUAAGUUCAAUUUCACCUUAAUAGAGUAGUUCAUAGUUUUCCCCAAAUAUUAAACUAUGCAUGACAACUUAAGUUUGGUUAUGUUUAGGAUUAAAUUAGAAUAACUCAUUAACUGAUUAAUUAACCACUUAAAUAAGCCCUGCAUGUUGAAUUGACUGUAAUAUGUGGAAUUUAGUACGAAGUAUAAUUAUGUAAGCUGAAUUGGACAUAAACACUAUGUUGAGUUAUGCAGGAUUCCGUGGUUGAAUCGGCUCAACCAGAGCUUGCAUUGAUCCAUAAGUUUCCUUGUGAAGCAAAAAUGUGUCUUAUGCGCCUCAUGAGCCGGUUCAUGCCUUGAAUGAGCCUGUGCAUAAGCGCAUAAUGUAUUUUAUUAAAAUCUGGGAAAUGUUGCAUCGGUACAAACGUUGUGUGAACCGGCUUAAGCAUGUCCUGGGUGAGUUUGAAUUGCUACAAGGCAAACUUGUGUCGAUGCAUAUAAGUCAAAUAUCUUGCUUUCUUAAAAACUGGAUUAUAUGCAUUGGUACAUAGAACCCUUGAACCGGUGCAAACAAAAUAAUUUACUAAAAACCUUUUGGCUUAUAUAUAGGAGGUAUAAUAACCGUUUUAUUUCAACUGAAAAUCCUCCAUUAUGAACAUUAUUUUAUAAAAACUAUAAGUGACUAGAAUUCCACGAUUACGGACUUUCGUACAUGUAUUAAAAUCAGUUAGACAAUUGAAUCAGGAUAUUCAGGAUUGUUAGAAAUACCCUCGGGAAGGUUUUCUUUUCUUUGUGCAGGAUAACCAUUCAAGAUUAUGAACAUUAGUUACCAUGUCAUGAGAAUCAUUUCAGAAUCCGAGAAAUUUAAUAAGAACUGCAAGCUGAGGUGGAACCCGACGUAUAUUAUUAUCGGUAGUACGAGGACUAGGCACUCCGGGACCCGCUUGCCUCGAAGUGACCCUAUGCGGAUAAUAUUGACAAGAUAAUAAUAAGCGGUACACCUUUACUGCUUUAUAUUAUUAUGUUAUGAAUUAUGUCAGGAUUAGUACUAUUAGAAGUUCAGGAUCAGGUUAUGUUAGAAACUAUUAGUUUUAGUUGCCCUGGUGUAGUCACCAGUAGUUGGGUAGUAGGAACUCACUGAGGCUUAGUAGUGUCAUCCCACGCCCUUCAAAUUUUUUUAGGUAAAUAGGUUAACCUGAGCAAGGACCAGACAGGAACCGAUGAUCGACGUUGCGCUUGGAUUAUCGGAUUAGAAGACUUUCGUUAAGCUGUUAAGUUGGGAUACAAUUUGUUAAGUUGUUAAGUUGAGAUACAAUUCUCUUUCGUUUGUAUUGUACUGGAUUUUCACAUUGUUCUUGUGAUAUCUUGUAAAUUCAAUAAAUUAUUUUUGAAUUUUAAGGUGCUCGGAUUUCAAUUAUUAAAUAUUCUAGUCAAUUUAGUUGGG